AUGCAUGGGCUUUCCCAAGUUCCUCUCCUGAUGUUCCCUCCCCUUAAGGAUGAUAAUUUGGUGGCCAUUUGCUCGUUUUUGAGAAAGCCAAGCAUGAGAACAAAAACAUUUAGAGGAAGACAGCCCAAUGUCAUGUAAGUAUUUGUAUAUUUGUUCUUACCAUGGCACACAAGGGACGUAGCGACCCCCCCCCCCUCAACUCAACGCUGGAUAUUAUUUAAGCUCUGCCAUCAUACUCCAGUGCUUUCCAAGAGCUGAGGAUUUUUGCAUUUCUUCCCGUAGGAACUGUAAACUCAAAAAGAUUCUCCUGCAAUAAAUUGUAUCCAUUUUAUUUUCUGAAAUAGCUACUUUUUAAAAAUAUAUGCUAAGAAAAAGUAAAGGGGAGAGAGAGGGCCCCUAUUUGUGAAUCGUGCUCUUUGUUUAUUCAUACUAUUUCCAAGACCAGGCAAAUUAUCAUAAUCUUCCCAACAGAGAUACACAAUUCCACCUAAGAAUUACUGUUUUCCUAAACCAGUGAAAAAAGCAAAGUUUCCAAUAGAUGCUGAGAUAAAUCAUGUGUAUGUGCUUAUAUGUGCACCCUAGCAAUUCCUUUUGAAUUUCAAGGUUAUAAAUAAUUCCCAAGCCCAACUUUGUGUCGGUAUUUUAAUAUGGAUUAUUUGUACUCCUCUGCUGGUGUCAUUUCUUCUGAUUUAAUCAUUAUCCCUUAUGGGCUGGCACCAGUCCAUUCAGCAUUCUGACGGGACCAAGCCACCAUCCCACCUAAGAAUAUCAAUUAUGUUGUGAAAGCAUACAAUUUGAUUCAUGCAGAAACCACUGUAUAUGCAUCAUGGUGUUUUCAUAAAGACUCUCUUAUUUACUCUAAACAGUGUUAUGACUUUCACUGUACGGCCACAUAGUAACUGUUUAACCUUCUUAAGUCUUUUCAAGAAACCUUAAAGGAGAAAAAGGAGAGCUUGGCCUCAAAAAUACAUUUUCUGUUCUUAUAAAAAUCGGCUCCUCUCUGAAUAGCUGAAAUGAGGCAAAGCUUCAAAGCGGCAGCCUAGAGUGCCAUAAGUACUGUUCUGUAGAGACGGCUCUCCAACCAUGUCUGAGCGGGCAAAAGAAAGGAACUUUCUGCCAGCUGAAUGUAUGUUUCCCAACGUCUUCCCCUCAUGCAGAUCUAAGAAGGAUGCUGGACUAGAAUCCCUAGUCGGUUUCCUACUUCAGGCUUGUUAGCAAGGGAUUCCCACAGUAAAAUCCGGAUGCACACACACACACCCCAUCCCACUCCUUUGCUCACUCAGGAUUAUCAGGACUUAGCCCUAGGCCAGCUCUGCUAUCUGUGCUGCCAAGACUUCUAGAGACAAAAGAAGUUCAAAUGAGCCGAUCAUCUGAUUGAAAAGGCCUCCCUUUGCCCUUAUUAAAUGGGAUCAUGGUGGGCAAGACUCAUCCACGCCGAUCAAGCCUUUUGAUCCUAUAGACCAAACCACCUUCAUCCUCUCCAUACUGUGAACACACCUAC
This 1501-nucleotide long non-coding RNA is filed under the name Canis lupus familiaris (dog). Its description in RNAcentral is "lncRNA (ENSCAFG00845008140.1)". Lineage: Eukaryota; Metazoa; Chordata; Mammalia; Carnivora; Canidae. The record is from RNAcentral.